Molecule: non-coding RNA, 113 nt
Organism: Acanthosepion pharaonis
Lineage: Eukaryota; Metazoa; Mollusca; Cephalopoda; Sepiida; Sepiidae
Source: the annotation of a GenBank genome assembly
UACGGCCACAUCACUUUGAAACAUUGGUUCCUGUACAAUCACUGAAAUUAAGCAAUGUCAAUCCUGAUUAGUACCUAGAUGGGUGACUGCUUGGGAAUACCAGGUGCUGUAAG